CUCAGCACCGCCAGCCCCGGGAUCCGGCCAGUGGGUGGGAGGGGGCGAAACCGAGGCGGAGACAGGACGCACACCGAGGGGGCGGACUCCCGGUCUCGCCAGUCCGCGGGAGAGCCCACCGCGCACCCCGGGCCCAGGGGACGGAGGAAAGAGAUACGAAGGACUUCUUUAUUCUUCCUCAGAGGCUCUUCGCCUUCCGACUAAGUGCUAGCCCAUCAGACCAAGCUUCGGGCCAGGACUGUGUGGAGGCCAGGUGAACUUGAACAUGGAGAGCUGGAGCGCCAUCAAACCCCGCGCCUCACCUGCCCCGAGCCUCACCUGCCUGGCACCUCGGGGUGCAGCCAGCACCUGACUGCGGCUGGAGCCGACGUCCCCAGUGCCCGGGCCGGAUGACAGCCAAGCAGGAGCCAGCUGAGAAGGGCUGUCCCUCCUGAAUGCAGGUUCUGCUUCCCUGGAGAACCCCACCUAAUACACCUGGCGCAGUGACGAUGGCGGUGCUUCCGGGUGGACACUGCAGGCUGAAUGGAGGGAUCUAUGGAGGAACCUGCUGGACCCUAAAUAUGGGGUGACUCUCUCUGCGCCCUUCCCUCAUUCCACUCAGGUUCCCAGGUUCACGGCUCGAAGGUCUGAUUCUCUCCAUAGACAAGGGCAGGUGGAGUCAGUUAGGUGGGCCAAUGCCAAGGGCAGCUCCCGGAAGCUGGGUCUUCCCUGAGGCUAAGAAGCCAGUGUGAGGAAAGGGGCAGGUGGCCCAAGGUGAGAACCCAGGAGCAGCAUCCAGCUUCAGGUCCAAGAGUUAUGACCCGAGUCACAUGCAAGAGUCGCUGUUCAUGGGAAGGAGGUGAGAUGGCUGGCGCUGUGGAAACUAUUACGGAUCAUGAGGCAAGCAGAGGACAGGGAGCCCGCGUCUGCGAUGAUGCUGUCAUCCCAGCCCUGGAUUGCGGACUCCAGGUCUCUCUACAGGAGGGAAGCCAUUCCUCCGCGUUUGGGACACUGGCUGGUGCUCGGUUACUCGAUGCGAAUGCAGUCGGUAACAGGCUCACAGUGACUUCACCUCCACCCACAUCUGCCUCCUCCGGCCAGUGGUCUUCAGAGGUUCAUUCAGCGGGAAUCCACGGUCACGGUGCCCUGAUGCAGCAGAGGGCAUGCUGAGCUGGCUGAAGGAGUCUGGGACGGACCCCAGUCAACUGGACUCUAUCCGACUCCUCGGGCUAAUUGGAUUGAACGAGUGCUGCUUGCAGUUGCCGCACGAAAAGGAAAGAGGCCUGUGUGUGGGGCAUGGUAGGUGAAGAAUGUAAGAAACUUCCUUCUCACCCUGGCUGGGGAGCUUAGCCAGUUAGAGCAGGGGUCCUCAACCUCAGGGCCCAGGGCUGUGGACCGGUACUGGGCCGGCCUGUCAGGAGCCAGGAUGCACAGCAGGAGGUGAGCUUGAAGGAAUGCAUUUGAAUCAUCCCAAAACCAUCAGCCCCACCCUGGUCCAUGGAAAAAUUGUCUUCCAUGAAACCUGUCUCUGGUGCCAACAAGGUUAGGGACCACUGGGCUAGAGCAUGGUCCUGAUACACCAAGGUUGUGGGUUCGAUUCCCACGCAGGGCACAUAUAACAACCAACCAAAGAGUACAUAUAGUAAGUGGAACAAAUUGAUGUUUCCCCCUCCUCCCUCCCUCUCUCUAAAACCAAUAAAUAAAAAAU
Molecule: long non-coding RNA, 1687 nt
Organism: Phyllostomus hastatus (greater spear-nosed bat)
Lineage: Eukaryota; Metazoa; Chordata; Mammalia; Chiroptera; Phyllostomidae
Exons: 4
Source: RefSeq, a predicted model, not a curated record